GAUGAACGCUGGCGGCGUGCCUAAUACAUGCAAGUCGAGCGAACAGAUAAGGAGCUUGCUCCUUUGGCGUUAGCGGCGGACGGGUGAGUAACACGUGGGUAACCUACCUAUAAGACUGGAAUAACUCCGGGAAACCGGGGCUAAUGCCGGAUAACAUUUAGAACCGCGUGGUUCUAAAGUGAAAGAUGGUUUUACUAUCACUUAUAGAUGGACCCGCGCCGUAUUAGCUAGUUGGUAAGGUAACGGCUUACCAAGGCAACGAUACGUAGCCGACCUGAGAGGGUGAUCGGCCACACUGGAACUGAGACACGGUCCAGACUCCUACGGGAGGCAGCAGUAGGGAAUCUUCCGCAAUGGGCGAAAGCCUGACGGAGCAACGCCGCGUGAGUGAUGAAGGUCUUCGGAUCGUAAAACUCUGUUAUUAGGGAAGAACAAAUGUGUAAGUAACUGUGCACGUCUUGACGGUACCUAAUCAGAAAGCCACGGCUAACUACGUG
This 497-nucleotide ribosomal RNA is filed under the name uncultured bacterium. Its description in RNAcentral is "partial 16S ribosomal RNA". It matches the Rfam family "Bacterial small subunit ribosomal RNA", at positions 28 to 507 of the family's 1533-position model. The record is from RNAcentral.